GGACUCCCGAUCUAGCGACAAAUGGACUCUCAAUACAGAAAAAAGGAUGAAUAAAAUUAUAAGAGUUUAUGUGCUGAUGCCAGAGGCACUAAGGUAUGAUGUAGCAAUCGAAACCAUUCCUUAUAAUGUUGCUGCCAUACGUCAUCCAAGACAUUGUAGAGUAUACAUCAACACUUAGUCUCUGUUAUUAAGAAAUGUGGAAAUGGAGGAUAAGCACAAACUCAUGAUUCCAUUGUUGACUCAAAGCCAACAGCCCCACUUGUCUCGAGGUCCCAAUGUGCAUAUCCAGGGAAAGCGAAGGGGAUAUUAAUCAACGUGCUGGUCGAGCUGGUCGUACCGGCCCGGGACAUUGUUACCGACUCUAUUCUUUUGACGUCUUUAAUGACGAGUUUGAAAAAUUUUCCUUGCCAGAUAUCGCGCGAAGACCGAUUGACGAUUUAGUUCUACAAAUGAAGUCAAUGGACAUUGAAAAAGUGAUCCACUUUCUGUUUCCGACGCCACCUGAUAUUUAGCAGUUAUAUGCAGCUGAGCGUCGGCUAUUAUUGCUAAAUGCACUGGAACCGCCGCCACGCAGCGUAGGACUCAAACCAUUUACAGAAAGCCAAGAAUGGAUGUCAAAAAUCACUCCACUUGGCAGAGCCAUGGCAGCUUAUCCAUUAGCACCGCGCUUUGCAAAGAUGUUAUUAUUAAGCCAACAAAAUGACCUACGUCAGCUGAGCAUUACUCUGGUGGCUGCCCUAUUAGUACAAGAACUUGUGCUGGAUCAGCCAGCCGAUUCUGUAGCAGGCGAUACUCACAGAAGGUGGCUUGGUCAACGUCUAUCCUGGGCUGGAACGGGACAGUCCCUACUUUUAGGAGACCCCAUGGUACUCCUGCGUGCUGUUGGCGCCGCCGAGUACUCGGGUGAUAUUGAAGCGUUUUGUUCCACGAACGGGAUACGUAGCAAAGCUCUUCGUGAAGUCCGAAAACUGCGGGUCUAGCUGACAAACGAAACGAACUUGAAUUUACCAUCGGGCACUGCAUCGAUUGUGGUUGACCCUCGCAUGGCGCCCCCCGACUGAAUUGCAAGCCAAACUUUUGCGUCAGAUUCUGAUGGCUGGACUUCCCGAUCACGUGGCUAAGCGAAUACCUCCAAAUGAAAUCAAGGAAACCGAAGACUGUAGAAAGUACAAAUACGCUUAUCGCUGCCCAGAAAUGGAAGAUCCUGUCUUCUUGAACCCAUCGAGUAUCUUGCGCUAUUCGCACCCUGAAUGGAUCAUUUAUCAGGACAUUUAUGAACAUGCCAACAAAAUCUAUUUGCGUGGUAUUACGGCCAUCAAACCCGAAUGGCUGCCUAUAUUCAGUCCUACACAGUGCACCUUCUCUGCCCCCUUGGAGCUUCCUGCCCCUGGUUAUGAUUCAGACCAGGGCCGUGUAAUGUGUCACAUGAAUGUUACAUUUGGGAGAAGUGGUUGGCCUCUGCCUGUAAUGGAGCUUGAAUAUCCAGCUGGUAUCGACCGGUUCAAGUUUUUAGCCCAGUUUUUCCUUAAUGGAGAGGUUUGUCGUCCUCUAGCAAAAUACACGGCAGCUCUGCUGUCAACUCCAUCAACAAUGGUCAAGACAUGGGUGAAACUCCAGCCCAAGACACAAGUGUUACUUCAACAACUGACAAUUGGUAAUCUCGAUAGCUUAGAUUCGCUUCUUGCCGCUUGGCAAAAAGAUAAAUUCUAUCUCCUGGGGGCCUAUAAAGCCUGGGUACCUGAAUCACUUCAUGAAGAAAUCAAUACCCUUUGGCCUCCUGUGUAAUUGACUGUAAAAUAUAUUGACCUCUUCAUUGCCAUGAAAAGUUAGCAGGGUUUCCAAUUGAAAAUCAUCUCAUUUUUAUUGAAAACACACCUAAAAUCAACUACGGGAAGAAUAAUCUCUACUCUGCCUUGACGCGCUUUUCUUUUUUCUCCUUGAUUGGAUUUUUCUUGCAUUCAUUAUAAAUAUUACGAAAAAUCAAUACAUUUGCGUCUGAAUGAAA
Long non-coding RNA from Daphnia carinata, 2005 nucleotides. RefSeq lists it as uncharacterized. NCBI's taxonomy places the organism in Eukaryota, Metazoa, Arthropoda, Branchiopoda, Diplostraca, Daphniidae. The transcript is spliced from 9 exons. The record is from RefSeq and is a predicted model, not a curated record.